CCCACGCCCAAAUCUCCGAGGCCUCCUAACCUCCUGCUGCCUCCGUUCCUUGUGCUGUUCCAGGCCCCGGAUCUUCUGCAGGAGGCGGCCCCUCUCCUGCCGCAGCCUCACGAUCUCCUCAUAGGCAUCUCGAUCAUCCUGUUCCCCUCCCCACCACGGCCUUUAGAUGGGGCCUAAGGUUGCCCCAUCCCAGGUCUCAGCCAGAGCCCCUCCCCGUGCCUGGGGGCUCCCCAUGCCUCCUCCCGUGCCCAGAGCAUCUCUCACCGGCAUGGGAAUGCUGGCGGGAGGUGGAGGCGCCUUCCGCUUCUUGGGGGCCCCCUGCUUUCCAUGGCUGGACAUAGAGUUCUGGGAAGGGAGGGGAGAGAGAGUGAAGGGGGCCGAUCGGGGGGCCAUGCCAGCCUCCCCCACAGUAAACCAACCCAGCCAGCCCCAGCCAUGGCCUGACUUCCUGAGAACAUGGAACCAGCAGCCCCUGCCUCCUGCCGCUUACUUAUCCCAGCAAAGCGCAGACAAGACCAACUCCCUGCUCUGCUCCGGUGCCACCUCCUCCAGGCAGACUCCCUGAUUUCUCCAGGCCACACCAGAUGGGGAUGUUGUAUCCCAUGAUACGAAAACUAAAGGCUCCAAGUCAAGCUUGCCCACCCAGGCCAGGCACAAAGAGGUGCUCAGGAAGGCUGAUUGCCUGUCCCUGGAGGUGAGCCCUCCCUUUCAUCCUCCCCAUCUGUGCCCUGAAUUGGCCGCCACAGGGACUUGAGGGGGCUGAGAAGAAUGGGGACAAUGGAGGAAGAAGCAUGUCUUUCUAGGAGUUCAUAGCCAAAGACACGGAUGCAAGAGAAGACAGCUGGAUCUACCUCAGGGCCUUUGCACUGGCUGUUCCAGCCACUUGGAAUGCAAUUCCUGCAAACUCUCUCCCCCACUCCCCUUCCCUUUUUCUUUUUUUUUUCUUUUUUGAGAUGGAGUCUCACUCUGUUGCCCAGGCUGCAGUGCAAUGGCACAAUCUCAGCUCACUGCAACCUCCACCUCCCAGGUUCAAGCAAUUCUCCUGCCUCAGCCUCCCAAGUAGCUGGGAUUACAGGUGCCCGCCACCGUGCCCAGCUAAUUUUUGUAUUUUUAGUAGAGACAACGUUUCACCAUGUUGGCCAGGCUCGUCUUGAACUCCUGACCUCACGUGAUCUGCCUGCCUUGGCCUCCCAAAAUGCUGGGAUUACAGGUGUGAGCCACCACGCCCAGCCCUCCCCUUCCCUUUCUAAUCUUUGCUUUAAUACCACCUCCUCUGGGAAGCCUUCCCUGGCCACCCUCUUUAAAACUGCAGCCACCUCCCCUGCCCUGAAUGCUUCAAUUCCCUUUUCCUGCUUUGUCUGUCUUUGCGACACAAAAUACACAUUGUCACUUA
This 1393-nucleotide long non-coding RNA is filed under the name Homo sapiens (human). RNAcentral's name for it is "PREDICTED lncRNA (TCONS_00137901)". The record is from RNAcentral. Lineage: Eukaryota; Metazoa; Chordata; Mammalia; Primates; Hominidae.